CGGCAAACAAGUCAAAUGAGGAAAAAGCGGCGGCGGCGGCGGCGGCAGCAGGUGAGACGUGUGUGUGCGCUCCCGGCUCUGCUACAUACUGAGUGCUGGGAACAGGUUUCAGAAGAUGGUUGGGAAAGGGAUGUGGCGCGGUGUGUGAUCGGUGCACGAUAUGACGGCGCCAUGUGCUGUUAUCCUUCCUUGCUUUGCUUUGUUACAAGAGCGAAUUCACCCAUUGCGCAAUUUCUGCGGCUUCUGCAUGGAAAAUCCACA
Bufo bufo (common toad) is the source of this 261-nucleotide long non-coding RNA. RefSeq lists it as uncharacterized. Lineage: Eukaryota; Metazoa; Chordata; Amphibia; Anura; Bufonidae. The record is from RefSeq and is a predicted model, not a curated record. The transcript is spliced from 3 exons.